UACGGAGGAUGCGAGCGUUAUCCGGAUUUAUUGGGUUUAAAGGGUGCGUAGGCGGACGCUUAAGUCAGCGGUAAAAUUGCGGGGCUCAACCUCGUCGAGCCGUUGAAACUGGGUGCCUUGAGUGGGCGAGAAGUACGCGGAAUGCGUGGUGUAGCGGUGAAAUGCAUAGAUAUCACGCAGAGCUCCGAUUGCGAAGGCAGCGUACCGGCGCCCUACUGACGCUGAAGCACGAAGGCGUGGGUAUCGAACAGG
RNAcentral lists this ribosomal RNA (252 nucleotides) under uncultured bacterium. RNAcentral describes it as "partial 16S ribosomal RNA". It matches the Rfam family "Bacterial small subunit ribosomal RNA", at positions 524 to 776 of the family's 1533-position model. The record is from RNAcentral.